This 56-nucleotide ribosomal RNA is filed under the name Mammillaria backebergiana. RNAcentral's name for it is "partial 18S ribosomal RNA". It matches the Rfam family "Eukaryotic small subunit ribosomal RNA", at positions 1776 to 1831 of the family's 1831-position model. RNAcentral also lists the same sequence under 2 other names. The record is from RNAcentral. Lineage: Eukaryota; Viridiplantae; Streptophyta; Magnoliopsida; Caryophyllales; Cactaceae.
UUGGAAGUAAAAGUCGUAACAAGGUUUCCGUAGGCGAACCUGUGGAAGGAUCAUUG